RNAcentral lists this ribosomal RNA (253 nucleotides) under uncultured bacterium. RNAcentral describes it as "partial 16S ribosomal RNA". It matches the Rfam family "Bacterial small subunit ribosomal RNA", at positions 524 to 776 of the family's 1533-position model. The record is from RNAcentral.
UACGUAGGGGGCGAGCGUUGUCCGGAAUCAUUGGGCGUAAAGCGCGUGUAGGCGGCCCGGUAAGUCCGCUGUGAAAGUCCAGGGCUCAACCCUGGGAUGCCGGUGGAUACUGUCGGGCUCGAGUCCGGAAGAGGCGAGUGGAAUUCCUGGUGUAGCGGUGAAAUGCGCAGAUAUCAGGAGGAACACCAGUGGCGAAGGCAGCUCGCUGGGACGUGACUGACGCUGAGACGCGAAAGCGUGGGGAGCAAACAGG